UUCUCCCAGUGUUUUCCCUGUUCCAAUACUCUAGAACCUUUUCUCAAUCACCAGUUGGCCUUUUGAUAUUUCUGCUCUGCUGUCAUAGCACCUGGUGUCUAAAUACUUAGAGUGUGGUUUAUGGAGUAUAACAGCCUGAAUGGAAAACGUCUGGCUUUCAGCAAGUCUUAAAACUAUCUAAGACUCACUUUUUCUUCUAUAAGGUACAGGAGAUAGAAAUUUAUUGGAUACCCUGCAAGGGAGCAGUGGAGAAGACAGCAGAGGAGAGGCUGUCUGCCUUAUUGAGACCAUUCAUAUUCCAGAACGAUAAAGAUGAAAAGUACAAUCUGAAAAAGGAUAGCAUAUCUACAGUGAUAUAUGCCUUUGUCGUUUUAACAAUAUGCCAGGAAGAGAACCUAAAGAAUCUUCUGAUAGAGAUACCUUCAAAGAGAAAGGACACUUUCAAGGAUAAAGAGAGGGACUUUCAAAGGAACUGGCUCAUUAGAUUACGGAAGCUGAGAAAUUCAAGAUGUACAGGUGACAAACUGAAGACCCAGUAAAGCCAAUGGUAUUGUUAUAGUGAAAGUCUGAGUUUGAAGGCAGAAGACAAAUGUUUCAGCUGGAAGAGAGACAGAAAUAAUUCUUUCUUACACUUUUAUUCCAUUCAGACCUUCAACAGAUUGGAUGAGGCCCACCCACAAUGGGGAGAACUAUCGGCUUUACGUAUGCAAAUUACUUAUACAAAUGGUAAUUACAUAUUCAAAUGGUAACCAUUCAAAUGUUAAUUCAAAUCAUUUAUUCAAAUGUUAAUCUCAUCCAGAAACACACUCACAGUCACACUGUUAGAUAAUGUUUAACCAAAUAUCUGGGUACUCCAUGACCCCAGUGAAGAUGACACAUACAAUUACCAUCACAGCUUAUAUUAACAUUAGACUCAUAUAAGCUGAAACACUUUUCUUGUUCUCAUUUUUAGCUUUUAACUGUAGUUACAUUGUCUUUUA
Herpailurus yagouaroundi (jaguarundi) is the source of this 980-nucleotide long non-coding RNA. RefSeq lists it as uncharacterized. NCBI's taxonomy places the organism in Eukaryota, Metazoa, Chordata, Mammalia, Carnivora, Felidae. The transcript is spliced from 4 exons. The record is from RefSeq and is a predicted model, not a curated record.